RNAcentral lists this long non-coding RNA (9954 nucleotides) under Homo sapiens (human). RNAcentral's name for it is "HSALNT0381186". Lineage: Eukaryota; Metazoa; Chordata; Mammalia; Primates; Hominidae. The record is from RNAcentral.
AUGCUGUGCAAAAGUUUCACCCGGACACCUGGAUUCCCUUUCAAAAGCUGUGCGAUUUUCACAUUCUGCACACACAGAUGGAAAUAAUCUGAGGAAAUCCUUAUUGGGUAGCAACAAGAGGAAGAAAGAAUGAGGCACACGUGAUAGCGCUGUCAUGGACACCAUGGGUGCAAAAAUGAGGAUACUGAGACUCAAAGUGGUGAAGAGACUUAUCCAAUGUCAUAAGCUGGGAGCUAGGGUAUGACCCAAGCAGAACCUGUACACUGGAGCCCAGGAUUACUGACAAAGGACACACCUUCUCUAGCCCCUCCUGGUGGACUUCCUCAGCUACGAAGUGCUAUUAUCAUCUCCUAGAGCUGUGGUGAGAAUUAACUAAAAUAACAUGGAUGAAGCUCUUGCGCGGCACCUGGCACAUGCCCAACCUGACUGCUGUGUUCUGCCCUGAGUCUGCAGAGGCUGACCCUGGCCAGGAAAGUGGUUGGAAAAGCAUUUUUGCAGAGAGGCAGCCUGAAGGUGGUGGCUCUAUCGGGGCAAAGAACUGUAAGCAGAGACAAAAUGAAAGCCCUCUAGGCCCACAAUUGAUUCUAACGGCUGUGAGGGAAUGAGCUUCAACUACUGUUGAUGGGAGGGACUGUGUGCCAGGCACUGUGCUAGGGACUCUCAUGCAUGAUCUCAUUCAUCUUCUGCAUAACCCAAUGAGGUAUGAUCUACUAUCAAGUGUCUACAUUUGUAUUGGAUUGGUAUGUGUGCCCAACAAAGAAAGUGUCAUUUUUCCUUGGGAAUGAAAUCACAUCAUUUGUGAAGACUUAGUAGAGGCUAAAUGAGUACAAGCAGCAUUUACCUUAUUAAACAGAUAUUUUCAACAUUUAAAACAGUCUGACCAUCAAUGAUGAUGUUCAAAAACAUCUCAAGAUGUUUUAGAGCUAAAGCAAAUGAGAAAAUAUAGUAAAGGGCUGAUUCCUGUGGAUAUUCUGCAAAGGAAAGUAACAUGGUGGAGUGGAAGUGGGAUAAGGUUUGAAGCCAAAAGACCUGGUGGGCUUAAGGUCUCCAUUUAUUGGUUGUGUGACCUUGGAUAAGCCACUUCACCUCCUGGUGAGACUUGGGCAAAAUGGAGAUCAUAUUAAUCACCUCACAGUUUGUUACGCAUUGAGUAAAUGCACAUGUAAGCAUUAUUGACUGUAAAUGAUUAUGCAUAUUUUAAUUAUGGUAUAUCCAAGCCUGAUUUUUCAUCCAGUGCUUACAGUGCCCUGGGCAUAAUACUCAUUCAAUAAACAUUUGUUUGAUGAUAGAGUAAUAAAUGAAUAUGUGAUGCAGAAGUUUUAAAAAUAUUUUUGCUGCUGUCUGACUCAUUUAUAGACAUUUAUAAAAUUGAGGAUUUGUAAGUUGUCCCUGGACAAUCAGAUCUCUUGAUUCAAAGGUGAAAGAUAAUCAUUCAGGUUUUCAAGUUUUUCCUGAUAUGAGACAUUAACUGGCAGGGCUGAUUAUGAGAAAUUGUCAUUAUCCUGCUCAAAUAUAAGAUCAUAGAUUUGGGAAACCUUAGAAAUAAUUACCUUCUUUUCAAAUAUGAGGAAACUGAAGCCCAGAGGCUCUAAGAAAUCAGGGACUUUAUAUAAUUUUUUCAUUUCUCUAGCUCUAGGGUAAUUGUAGAUAGAUAUACAACAAGUAUGUUUUUAAAAGUAUAUUUUUCAAGAAUUAUGCUAAGCACUGGGGAAAUAAACAUUAACAAGACAAAACCCUCCCCUUUGAGGAACUGAUAAUCUAGACAGACAUGAAAACCAGGAAGUGUGCUAUCAGUUAUAUUAAUGUUGUACAGAGUUCUAGUGGCAAGAGGGAACUGCCAAGGGAAAUCUGAGAGGAGGUGUUUACCCUGCGUAAACACCUUGCUGUUUAGCUUGGCAUCCCUAGAAGCAGACCCUGAGGACAGUGGGAAAAUGGAUUAUUAAGGAAGUGCUCCUGAGAGAAACCAGAAAGGGGGUGUAGGGAGCAAGGGAGGAUAAGGAGAAGACUCCAGUAAGGAUGAGAUUACUCAAGUCCCAUGGAAGACAGGUUAGCCUGAUCCUGCAGGGGAGCCCUGGAGGACUUAACAUCUCUGGAAAGCCAGAAAUCAGAGAUACAGAGAAGUAUUGAAAUGCUGAAAUGCUAUGAAUUUACUAUAAGAGAACAUUCUUCACUGAAGAGAUCUCUAGCUGCCAAAACACCCUUUCAUGCGUGAAAUACCGGGGCAAAGAGGAAGGAAAAGAGAAGAGUAUGACUCUAGGAACCAUGUUGCAGAAAUGCCAAAGGGUGGGACAAACAAAGUUACUAAUGUGGAGAAAGAAGAUUAUCAUGUGUGGAACGAAGGACAAUAUGAACAUUAAAUAAUGCCCUGACUCAUUCCAAAAAGAAUCUGAGAUGACCAAUAAAGCCAUUUUUAAUUGUUUAUUAGUGAACAAUAGAUUAUGAGUGCUAAAGGGAUUCAGGAAGAAGAAAGAUCAGUGCAGAGUAGAGAAGUCUGAUGGAUGCAUUGAAGAAGCUAUGCUUGAGCUGAAAUGACAAGAGAGCUGUUUUUCGCUUUCAGAAUUAUUAUGUGGCAAUGGUAAUUGACAACAGAGAAGCUGAAGGGAGGAAGUCACUUUAUGGGAGCAGAGUCACUCUCAAGUAAUAGCUGGCCAUACAGAUUGCUCUGGACCAAGGGUGAAUGUGAAGAAGAAAAGACCGGCCAGCAACACAAUGGAAUAUCUAGAGUCAUAUUGAGGGAAAUACUUAGAUUGCUGAUUUCUUAGUGGAUUUCACAAGCAGAGCUGCUUGUGAGCAGAAUGGUGAAGUAGGGGCAUGUGUUUCUGGGGUCUUAUUCCAUGGCUUCCUUCCACCUACAAGAGUCAUCCUCACGGAGUACUUGCAUUUCAGUAGAAGAAAAAAAUCUUAUAGAUGGAAGGGAAGGAUGGGGUUCCUGCUUUAGGAAGAUUGGCAUGGUCAUAAGUCUGAGCAAGGAAGGGCCCAGGGCAGCUCAGAGCUCUGAGCAGGAAGCUCUAAUUAGUUACUGAAUAUGGUGCAAGCACAAAGAGAGCGUAGUGUUUUCCCUUUCCAUCUGUGGAAGUCUUGGCCAUGCUUACUUGGGCGUUCCUUCCAGGAAACAUUUAUUUUUCCUCUUUAAUGCCCUCCUCAUAUCUAUGCUCUCAGUAGAGGAUGCCACUGCUUCUGGCACCUGGAUAAUAGAAUGAAGCUGAUUGGGAUGGAAACAGAAAAGUCAUCUCUCAGAACAAUGAGCAGAGACUGAAACUCCCUUGUACCCAGUCCCUGUGCACUGCUGUUCAUAGCCAAAUGGGCAAGGCCUUGCCAAAUGUCAUGUUGAGGUGAGGCCCUAAGUGAUAGAAAAAUAAAAAAUGACUAUGGCCACUUGCAUGUUCAGAGAAUUCAGUUUAGAAAAUGCUAUGCUGGGAGGAUCUCUCUUAAUAUCUUGUUUGCAUCAGAAUGUUCAAGUUGCAAUAUAUGUUUUUGUUUUGUGUAUUUAUUUAUUUUCCUCUACUCUAUUCUGUUAAGUCUUUUAGGGCAAAGGUAGGGUAGUCUAUACUCCCUGCGUUAUCCAUAAUGCCUAGCACUGUGUCUUGUACAUAAAAGGUCAUAAUAAAUACCUGUUGGCUAGAUAGAUGAAUGGAUAGAGUGCCUCAUUUAGAAGCAUUAUACUUCUAUGGAAAAAAAUUUUUAAAUGUAUUUUUUUCUAUGAGAUAACACAGUUCCUGAAUAGGUCAUGGGCAGGUGCUAUUCAAGUUUGCGAAGGAAAGGUUUUCCUAGAGUUAGGGUAAUUUUUUCCUCAAAUAAGAAAAACCUACAGUAAAUAAUUACUCUCCAUAUUAUCUUUAGGUUUCUUGCCAGUAUUAACAUCUUUUUUAUUGUAAGUGAUGAUAUUGUCUGUGAGAACAUUACAGUAGGUUAGUAUCCUGGGUUAAGCUAAGUGUUGUUGAAAAUAAUCCUGGACAUCCAAACAGGAAGAGAGGAAGUCAAACUAUUCCUGUUUGCAAAUAACAUGAUUCUAUAUCUAGAAAACCCUGUAAUGUCAGCCCCAAGGCUCUGUGAGAUCAGAGAUAAAUAACCUCAGCAAAGUCAACAUACAAACAUCAGUAGCAUUCCUUAUACAAACAACAUCCAAGCUGAUGGCCAAAUCAGGAUGCAAUCCCAUUCACAAUUGCCCCCCCAAAAAUAUAAAAUACUUAGGAAUACAGCUAACCAGGGAUGUGAAAGAUCUCUAUAAUAAGAAUUACAAAACACUGCUCAAAAAAUCAUAGAUGACACCAAAAAUUGGAAAAAUAAUCCAUGCUCAUGGAUUGGAUGAAUCAAUAUCAUUAAAAUGGCCAUACUGCCCAAAGCAAUUUACAGAUUUCACAGAUUCAGUGCUAUUCCUAUCAAAAUAUCAAUGACAUUUUUCGUGGAAUUAGAAAAAACUAUUUUAAAAUUGACAUGGAACCCAAAAGGGACCCCGAAUAGUCGAGGCAAUCCUAAACAAAAAGAACAAAGCUGGAGGUAUUAUAUUACCCAAUGUCAACAUAUACUACAGGGCUAUAGUAACCAAAAGAGCAUGGUACUGGUACAAAAACAGACACAUAGACCAAUAGAACGUAAUAAAGAGCCCAGAAAUAAUGUCACACCACUUACAACCAUCUGAUCUUCAAUAAAGCUGACAAAAACAAACAAUAGGGAAAAGAUUCCUCAUUCAAUAAAUGGUGCUGGGAUAACUGGCUAGUCAUAUGCAGAAGAUUGAAACUGGACACCCCACCUUACACUACAUACAAAAAUCAGUGUAAGAUGAAUUAAAGGCUUAAAUGUAAAACCUAAAACUAUAAAAACCCUGAAAGAUAACCUAGGAAAUACCAUUCUGGACAUAGAACUUGGCAAAGAUUUCAUGAUGAAGACAACAAAAGCAAUUGCAACAAAAACAAAAAUUGACAAAUGGGAUCUAAUUAAACUGAAGAGCUUCUGAACAAAAAAAGAAACUAUCAACAGAGUAAACAGACAACCUACAGAAUGGGAGAAGAUAUCUGCAAACUAUGCAUCCAACAAAGGUCUAAUAUCCAGAUGCUGUAAGGAACUUAAAUUUAUAAGCAUAAACAAACAACCCCAUUAAAAAGUGGGCAAAGGACAUGAAGAGAUACUUUUCAAAAGAAGACAUAUAUGUGGCCAACAAGCAUAUAAAAAAUGCUCAACAUCACUAAUCAUUAGAGAAAUGCAAAUUAAAACCACAGUGAAAUACCAUCCCACACCAGUCAGAAUGGCUAUUAUUAAAAGUUGAAAAAUAAUAGGUGCUAGCAAUGUUGUGGAGAAAAGGGAACACUUAUACACCACUGAUGGGAAUGUAAAUUAGUUCAGCCACUGUAGAAAGCAGUUGGGUGAUUCCUCAAAGAACUUAAAAAAACAGAGUUACCAUCCAACCUAGCAACCCCAUUAUUGGGUAUAAUCCAAAGGAAUAUAAAUUGUUCUAUCAUAAAGACACAUGCACAUGUAUAUUCAUUGCAGCACUAUUCGCAAUAAGAAAGAUAUGGCAUCACCCUAAAUGCCCAUCAGUGGUAGACUGGAUAAAGAAAAUGUGGUGCAUAUACACCAUGGAAUACUAUGCAGCCAUAAAAAACAAUGAGAUCAUGUCCUGUGAAGCAACAUGGAUGGAUCUGGAAGCCAUUAUCCUAAGCAAACUAACACAAGAACAGAAAACCAAAUAUGGCAUGUUCUUACAAGUGGAAGCUAAACAAUAGGAACACAUGGAUAUUAGAAGGGUAACAGAAGAUAUUGGGGCCUACUUGAGGGUGGAAAGUGGGAGGAAGGAGAGGAUCGGAAAAAUACCUAUUGGGUACUAUGUUUAUUACCUGGAUGAUAAAAUUAUCUGUCACCAAACCCCUGUGACAUGCAGUUUACCUAUAUAACAAACCUGCACAUGUACCCCUGAGCCUAAAAUAAAAGUUUAAAAAAAAAAAAGAAAAUACACCUGGACCCUAUUUUGAAAGACAUACUGUAGACUUGAGGGAGGAAGAGCAGAGGGAUGGAAAGGGCCCCGAAUUACCCACAAGCCAUGUGAAUGCUUAAGCAGUCAUGGACCACAAUUCUCACCACACACACACACACACACACACACACACACACACACACACACACACAGGUCUGAACCCUUACCCCUGUCUACUACUUAUUGGAGCUUGGUAGAAAAAAAGUUGUGAGUGACAGAAAAGUGAGAAAAAGAGAAGAAGAAGAAAAAUUGGAAAGUGUGGAAGAAAAAGUGGCAAAUGCAAGCAGCCCUUAAUGGAACUGUGCUGAAUUGAGAGACAGCAGAAGGUAACAGCUGGCUGGGACUUGGCCAUGAAAGGUGGAAUGUGAGGAGACAAAUGAAAUGGAAAUGCAGGAAAGAAUGGAGUGGCAAAGGAGGCUGGAGAUGGGGCAGAGGAUAGCAAGGGGAGAGAAGGAAGCACAGAAAGGGUGUGGGGGACAGGCCAGAGAGUAGAAGGCUAGAUGGAACUGACUGAUGCCACCAGUCAGAGAUGGAGACCAUUAACAAUGUGUAGGGAAACCCCUGCCUUCCCAAUAAUGAAAAUGCAGGUUUAAUCAGUACCAAGGAACACUGUGAAGUAAGGGCAUUGACUUGGGAAGUGAAAGCCGAAGAUAGAGCAAACCCCAUACGGCAUAUCCUAACUCGCCAUUUUAACAGCAGAAAGACUCGAAAAUACAAAGCAAAGGAUUAUCCAAAGGGCUUUUUAAAAUAAUGCUUAAAAUUUUAAUCUUGUAAAUAUAUUUCCCUUCCCAGUAUGAAAAUAAUUCCGAGUAUAAUCUUUAUUUACUUUCCCCUUUUUAUUUUAGAAGAGUAAACAUAGCUUUAAGAAUUAAAAAAAUCAGUUAAUAAUCUGACUUUUAAGUCAGCUGUAAAAAUGUAAGUUUCUAGCUCUGCCACUUUUUAGUAGUGUGACUUUGGGCAAAUUGCUCAAAAACUCCAAAUUCUUGUUUCUUUACCUACAAAAAAGGGACAAUAAUACAUACCUCCUAUGAUAGUAGAAAAUUACGUGAAAAUAUACUCCAAGUAUCUCAGAGGGCUUGAUUUCCAGAAAGCGCCCAAGCUCAAUCAAUAGUGACGUUUACUAUCCACGCAGCCAGUUCUACUACUGGGAGUUGGUUGGUGCUGAUAAAGCUUUUUGUCAGACUUCUCACAAUUUCCAUUGUGAGAAGAUGUAGCUUCCAAUUAACUCUGUCACUGAUUGUUGGGUAACUUUGGGCCAAAUGCUGUUCCUUAAUGAAUGUGGGUGUGAAACUUAUUAAGAUUAAUGACUGUCACAGCUGUUAGCCAGAUGUUUACAUAAUUCCCUCUGUUUUACAGCAAUCAUAUCAGAGGAAAGGGGUUGAAUGAUAGAAUUAGAAAAAUAAGUACAAUAUUGUGGGAAUGAAUAAAUGUUGUUUUGGAGGGUAGGAGAUUAAAAUCCUAAAUGUAUUUUGAUUAGGCUAAUAUUAAAAAUUAGCAUCUGUAAAUCAGUAAUCUAAUUGAAGGAAUUUUUUAACACAAGUGACUGGUGGAGGGGACACAGCAUGGGAGGGCAUGCUUACAGCAAGAGCUCCAUUGAUUAAAUAGUCCCCUGCAGAACACAGAGAGUUAAAUACGUCUUUAAUAGCCUCCAGCAUGAAAGGGCAAAUCAUUUGUUUUAAUUGAGGAAGGAUAAAAUAUUUUUGCUUUACACAUAUAUGUUCUAUUUUAGCAUCAUAGUUAUUUUUAUAGCUGUUAUAACUUCACAAAACCUAAUAGGAAAAUAAAUCUGAAUCCAGAAGAGUUCAAUACUUUCCAGAGGAGUCUAGUAAAUAAAAACUCUACACUGACUGACUGAUCUUAUUCAUGCACUGCUCCUAAACCCAAACUCUCAAGUGAAGGGAAAAGAGGUUAAUUCGUUGGAAUAAAUUCAUGGGAUUUUUUUUUAAAGACACAUCCUGAAUCAAAGUGAUUAAAACAACAAAUGGAUAAAGGGUAGAGCUGUGAGAGGACAAGGUUUGCAUUACUGAGCAUCUUGAUUAUGUGGGGAAGAUGGGAAACAGAUCUUGCCCAUUCUGGUCUCAAACUACUAAAUCCUGAGAAUGCCAAGAGGCGAGUCACUGAAGUCAGAAGUUGGAAACAUGGCUAAGCUGUCCAGAGUGUGGAACACAUGGUCUCUGAAGGUUUUUAUUAGUGUGUGGGUGAGAGUUCAGAAGCUCUACUAAUUACUUUUGUUUUCAGAAUUUAUAAAGUUAAGACAGAAAGCGGAAUAUUAACACUUCACUUCCUCGUGCAGUCAUUAAUUUACUCACUUAGCAUACAUUUAUUCAUAGAAGCUUAUUGGUACCAAGUAUACCCUCAAUGAGCAACCAACCCAAAAUUGCAAAAGGGAGAUCAAACAGGGAAGCUGUGGUAGGAAGUAUCAUGGCCUCUUCAAAGAUGUCUAUAUACUAAUCACAGAAUUUAUGUAUAUGUGAUGCUGUAUGUCAAGGGAAGAUUAAGGUGUGCAGAUGGAAUUAAGGUUGCUAAUCAGCUGACCUUAAAAUAGGAGUACUAUCUUGGAAUAUCUGGGUGGGCUCAAUGUAAUCACAAAUGUUCUUAACAGAUAGAAGAAGAAGGCAGAGGAGUCAGUGUUGGAGUGAUGCCAUGUGAGAAAGACUCAACUGGCCAUUGCUGGCUUUGAAAAUGGAAGGAGGCAUAAGCCAAGGAAUGAAUGCAGGUGCCUCUAGAACCUGGAAAAAGCAAGGAAACAAAUUCUCCUCUAGAACCUCCAGAAGGAAUGCAUUCCUGCCAACACCUUGAUUUUUAGCUCGGUGAGACCCAUGCUGGACUUCUGACCUGCAGGAUUGCAAGAUAAGAUAUUUGACUUAUUUUAAGAUGCUAAGUUUGCAGUAAUUUGAUAUGGUAGCCAUCGGAAACUAAUACCGAUGCCAAAGCAGUAAAGCAGGAAAGCACUCCAAAAUCACAGGAGUGAGAGGAGCAGAAAUGUCCUAGGAGAAGACAAUGUUUCCUUUUGAAAAGGAAAGUUUACUGGCAACUUCCAUUUGAAUUUCUUAAUUUCUUUCCUCAGUGGCAGUCACUACUUCCAAGGUGGCAGGUUCCAGAGCUGAUUCAUUAUAUAAUCUUUUCUCAGGAGUAUUCUAGCCACCUUUAAAGAAGCUAGGGCCAUUUUCCUGACACUGCAUCAAGGGGUAAGGUUAGUGGUAAAGAAACCAUGCGGUAGGAAAGGCCAACUUUCUCCCUACAUAAUCCAAUCGCAUUAUCUCCAGACUUGCUCACCCUCUGCUCUUUGCAUACUGCAGCUCCAGAGCUUUCAUACCUACAGACUUCCUGGAGUUAAGACUAAAACAAGAGUUGUGCUACAGACUACCGUUCCUAUUAUCAUUUUUUGUGUCCUGCUGAGUCCUCCCCUCUUGGCAACUUCAGGACCACCCACUGGGAAGAUAAUAUACAACCCAUCAGGAAACUCCCAGUGCCCAUCGUGGAGGCCAAGUGCUGCCAACUCUGAUUGCUUCUGGAAUGCCAUUUCUUCCCUGCCCUUUCAAUAUUCUUGUUAUGCGACUCCUAUGAUCACUGCCAAUCUGUAGAAAAUUACAGGAUGAAUUUUUGUGAAGGACUGAAUUUGCAUACUGGUCUUUUGUUGUUUAUUGUUGGGGGGAUUUUGCUUUUUGCACACAAUUUCUGCACAUUUUAUUGGAAGUUAUUGGGUUAGAUUCAUCCCAUUCAUUCACUAGCCUGGCAUUGCUAUGCAUGUGCUGUAGGGGCUUAGCAUUAAACGAUUUUCUUUGUUCAGAUUUGGAUUGCUGUCUCUGCUUGCAAAUUAUUUUUCACAAUGACUCCUUCUUUUCCUUCUCUCUCUCUCUCUUUCUCUCUCUCUCUCUCUCACACACACACACAGACACACACACACACACACACACACACACACACACACACACACAGAUGAGGUUAGAUAUUUUUCCAUUGCCAAGUUCAGGACCCAUGAAUAC